UGUCUGAAUAUUUCAGUCUAGAUCAGUAACUAAAAUCAUUCUUCGUUUCCUUCUUCCACUCUCAGAUGCUCACUGGAAAUUCUCCUCUUUUACUUACAGUUGGACUUGGAUUAUCAAAAGUGGAGCAGUUCCAGCUGUCCAUUUCCACGGAAAUAAAGAAAAGUAUUGACAUACCUUGCAAGAUAUUGAGCACAAACUUUGAAACAGAUGUCAUUCAUUGGUACUGGCAGAAACCGAAUCAGGCUUUGGAGCACCUGAUCUAUACUGCCUUAAUGAAAUCCUCAGCUGGAGGCAGCAUGGGUGAGAGGAGCAACAAAUUGGAGGCAAGAAAGGAUUCUCAAACUUCCACUUCAAUCCUUACCAUCAAGUCCAUAGAGAAAGAAGACAUGGCUAUUUACUACUGUGCUGCUUGGGAAUACACCAUAUCAGAGCUGUUGAGACAACACGCACAAGAUCCUCUCCCGGGGUCUGCGCCCACCACAUCCUUCCCAACAGGGGCAACCACAGCUGGUCCCCAGCUGGGCUCCCAGACUCAGGCUCGCUUUCUCUGAGGCUCUUCCGGGGCUUUCCAGGAAGCUGUUUCGGGUUGUGCUUACACCUUCGUUCCAGGCUGAUCCCAGGAAUUGUGCUCCAGAAUCUUUAUUUAAUACUAUUUCUUAAUGAGUGUUAAAGACUUGUCUGGGGGCUGAGAGGA
Non-coding RNA from Cebus imitator (Panamanian white-faced capuchin), 694 nucleotides. Lineage: Eukaryota; Metazoa; Chordata; Mammalia; Primates; Cebidae. The record is from the annotation of a RefSeq genome assembly.